RNAcentral lists this ribosomal RNA (481 nucleotides) under uncultured bacterium. RNAcentral describes it as "bacterial SSU rRNA". It matches the Rfam family "Bacterial small subunit ribosomal RNA", at positions 28 to 526 of the family's 1533-position model. The record is from RNAcentral.
GAUUAACGCUGGCGGCGUGCCUAAUGCAUGCAAGUCGAACGUGGCGCCUUCGGGCGUUAACGUGGCGGACGGGUGAGGAACACGUGGGGAACCUGCCCAUUGGUGGGGGGUAGCCCGCGGAAACGCGGGGUAAUUCCGCAUACGCUGGCCUGGGGAUAGCCCGGGUCAGGAAAGGGUCUUUAGACUCGCCGAUGGAGGGGCCUGCGUCCGAUUAGCUAGUUGGUGGGGUAAUGGCCUACCAAGGCGAUGAUCGGUAGCUGGUCUGAGAGGACGGCCAGCCACAGGGGAACUGAGACACGGUCCCCACUCCUACGGGAGGCAGCAGCAAGGAGUUUUCCGCAAUGGGCGAAAGCCUGACGGAGCAACGCCGCGUGGGGGAUGACGCCCUUCGGGGUGUAAACCCCUUUUCUUGGGGACGAAGCAGUGACGGUACCCGAGGAAGAAGGCCCGGCUAACUACGUGCCAGCCGCCGCCGUAACAC